GACGAACGCUGGCGGCGUGCUUAACACAUGCAAGUCGAACGGAAAGGCUCCAGCUUGCUGGAGUACUCGAGUGGCGAACGGGUGAGUAACACGUGGGUAAUCUGCCCUGCACUCUGGGAUAAGCCUGGGAAACUGGGGCUAAUACUGGAUAUGACCUUUCUCCUUAUGGGGUUUGGUGGAAAGUUUUUCGGUGUAGGAUGGGCCCGCGGCCCAUCAGCUUGUUGGUGGGGUGAUGGCCUACCAAGGCGACGACGGGUAGCCGGCCUGAGAGGGUGAUCGGCCACAUUGGGACUGAGAUACGGCCCAGACUCCUACGGGAGGCAGCAGUGGGGAAUAUUGCACAAUGGGCGGAAGCCUGAUGCAGCGACGCCGCGUGAGGGAUGACGGCCUUCGGGUUGUAAACCGCUUUCAGCAGGGACGAAGCGUAAGUGACGGUACCUGCAGAAGAAGCACCGGCUAACUAUGUG
RNAcentral lists this ribosomal RNA (467 nucleotides) under uncultured bacterium. RNAcentral describes it as "partial 16S ribosomal RNA". It matches the Rfam family "Bacterial small subunit ribosomal RNA", at positions 28 to 507 of the family's 1533-position model. The record is from RNAcentral.